Molecule: long non-coding RNA, 484 nt
Filed under: Zostera marina
Lineage: Eukaryota; Viridiplantae; Streptophyta; Magnoliopsida; Alismatales; Zosteraceae
Description: long non-coding RNA (ZMAR_LNC000820)
Source: RNAcentral
UCCUAAUACAAUAGUUACUACUAAUCAUUUCCAACGGUUAGAAAUCAGGUAAUACGAGUGAACCUAAUUUCUUCCCCUUCUCUUUGAUUUCUCGACGUCCGGCGAGCAUCUACUGCCCGCUCCGGUGCAGCUCUUCCUCAUAACUAAAGAAGAAAGUGCAAUCCCACAUUUUAACAUGGUAUCUGCUGGUUACAAAUACGGUCAUGCUUCUGUAGAAAAAAAUGUCGAUGCUUCUCCAGAAGAAAGGGGCGUUGAUCUCUUCAGACUCAAGUGCUGUGACGGCGACAUCCCCAUCGAUCAUGCGAUCACCUCGUCGUAAGUCCCCAUUAUUUGUUAAACAUAGGCAUAAAUCACAUCGUUCUAGCAAGAACAGAAAAUCCGACCAGGUUUCUGCAAUCAAUGAUCGGGAAUCAGUUAUUAUCUGAAUUCCAACGAUCAUCCAGGGGCGCUCAUGGUCUCGGAUGAACUUGUUGGUGAGUCCAAU